This 495-nucleotide ribosomal RNA is filed under the name uncultured bacterium. RNAcentral describes it as "partial 16S ribosomal RNA". It matches the Rfam family "Bacterial small subunit ribosomal RNA", at positions 28 to 505 of the family's 1533-position model. The record is from RNAcentral.
GAUGAACGCUGGCGGCGUGCCUAAUACAUGCAAGUCGAGCGAACGGACGAGAAGCUUGCUUCUCUGAUGUUAGCGGCGGACGGGUGAGUAACACGUGGAUAACCUACCUAUAAGACUGGGAUAACUUCGGGAAACCGGAGCUAAUACCGGAUGAUAUUUUGAACCGCAUGGUUCAAAAGUGAAAGACGGUCUUGCUGUCACUUAUAGAUGGAUCCGCGCUGCAUUAGCUAGUUGGUAAGGUAACGGCUUACCAAGGCAACGAUGCAUAGCCGACCUGAGAGGGUGAUCGGCCACACUGGAACUGAGACAAGGUUCAGACUCCUACGGGAGGCAGACGUAGGGAAUCUUCAGCAAUGGGCGAAAGCCUGACGGAGCAACGACGCGUGAGUGAUGAAGGUCUUCGGAUCGUAAAACUCUGUUAUUAGGGAAGAACAUAUGUGUAAGUAACUGUGCACAUCUUGACGGUACCUAAUCAGAACGCCACGGAUAAACACG